CAAAUCCUUUCAAAUGAAUUAAAUUCUCAUUAAUUUGUUAUAUCAAACAACAAAUUUAUAAAAAUAAAAUAAAAAUUCCAAUUCUUUACAAUUCUAGAAUUUAAGGUAGCCAAACAGGGUGCAAGUAAAAUUAAAUUUGAAAACAACUUGUUAACGCGUGUAUGUAUAUUCGUACGUACGUACGUAGUAAAUUUUACACUUUGCAUGGAAAUAUAUACUGUUGGCUUAAAUAGGCCAGCAUCCCGUCUUGUGGUGGUAGAUCAUGUUGAGCUGAGUCAUAUUCGAAAUGACGUGAGGCUGUAUGGGCCGAGUCACAAUCGAGAUCCGUAAGCGUUGUAUUUAAUACGUUUUAAAUGAAUUGAUUGCAUAUUUCUAACCGCUCGAGCUUUUGGGAUUAAUAGUUAGCGCCAACGAUCCGACAUAUACUGGUCGUGGCAAUAUAUAUUGUGGUGAAAAGUUUAUGG
Molecule: long non-coding RNA, 464 nt
Filed under: Ananas comosus (pineapple)
Lineage: Eukaryota; Viridiplantae; Streptophyta; Magnoliopsida; Poales; Bromeliaceae
Description: long non-coding RNA (ACOM_LNC031847)
Source: RNAcentral